CAGCCGCCGCGGUAAUACGAAGGGGGCUAGCGUUGCUCGGAAUGACUGGGCGUAAAGGGCGUGUAGGCGGCCUGGGGCGUCCCAUGUGAAAGGCCACGGCUCAACCGUGGAGGAGCGUGGGAUACGCUCAGGCUAGAGGGUGGGAGAGGGUGGUGGAAUUCCCGGAGUAGCGGUGAAAUGCGCAGAUACCGGGAGGAACGCCGAUGGCGAAGGCAGCCACCUGGUCCACUUCUGACGCUGAGGCGCGAAAGCGUGGGGAGCAAACCGGAUUAGAUACCCCAGUAGUCCCUGUCUCUUAUAC
Molecule: ribosomal RNA, 301 nt
Filed under: uncultured bacterium
Lineage: Bacteria
Description: partial 16S ribosomal RNA
Rfam family: Bacterial small subunit ribosomal RNA
Source: RNAcentral